Molecule: long non-coding RNA, 739 nt
Organism: Bactrocera dorsalis (oriental fruit fly)
Lineage: Eukaryota; Metazoa; Arthropoda; Insecta; Diptera; Tephritidae
Exons: 3
Source: RefSeq, a predicted model, not a curated record
GUAUUUAAUCUGUCGCCACAUUAUAAUAAUCCUUUUUAUUUAGAAACAUUCUCGCAUAUUUGAAUAUUCGUAUACAUACAUACAUACAAACAAGCUCAUAGCGUCGAAACAAGCGGCACAUAGUGUAUAAAUGCCGCUACGGCAACAAGUGUUGUAUACGUUAGCCAAAUAACUGUUGUGAAAACUCCACAAAACAGUUAAGUGCACACAUAUGCAUAUAAAGUUAUGUCGUUAAAGCGGACAACAUCGCAAACUUCGGCAACAGCGUCGGCUUUGCAUACUUCCCGAUGGCGCUAUAAAAGGAUAUGUCGCGCUGAUAACGCAUUCAUUGUACGGACGGUUGGCAAAGUUAACGGUUCUCGUCUAAAGUUAGCCAACUCGACAGUGACUUUUCAGCAAACGCGUAUUGUAACGGUUUUUCGUUUGAAAAAAUAUCUCAAAAGUCAUACGUUUGAAAAUUGUGAAGUGACAUCAAUUUAAUUUAAAAAAAAGUCGAACGCCGGCACACGCUCGUAUUACAUUGCUUCAUUUUUGAACUUUUCCACCACACUCCACCACCAGCCGUUGCAAUCAUUUUCCGAGCACUUAAAAGUUGUAAGAGUUUAGAAAUCUAACACGUUCCCUAACGCCCGCCACUGCAGCGCUUGUCCAGCUUCUUAGCACAGGACGUAGCAGAGUCACCCACGCCGGGGUACUCAAAACCCCAUAAGAGCAACGAGACUGCUGAUUUUCGAUAACU